UCCCGUGUGGCUCAGUUGGUAGAGCAUGGUGUUUGCAAUGCCAGGCUUGUGGGUUCGAUUCCCACAGGGGAC
Molecule: non-coding RNA, 72 nt
Organism: Salmo salar (Atlantic salmon)
Lineage: Eukaryota; Metazoa; Chordata; Actinopteri; Salmoniformes; Salmonidae
Source: Rfam